This 360-nucleotide long non-coding RNA is filed under the name Carica papaya (papaya). RNAcentral describes it as "long non-coding RNA (CPAP_LNC008876)". The record is from RNAcentral. Lineage: Eukaryota; Viridiplantae; Streptophyta; Magnoliopsida; Brassicales; Caricaceae.
CAUGUUCGAGUAUAUUGGAAAAGUGAUAAAUGUGUACCCAUACAUAACCGUUAUGUGUUUAGGUGUAUGAAAAAAUAGUCUAAUCUAUGUGCCCUAACUAUUCUGUGUUCGAGGGGUAGCAGUGUUUCAAGGUACUCAUGUAUGUCAUUUAGUUUUGGAGUAUAUGGGGAACUAGUGAUAAGUAUGUGUGCCUACGUAUAAUGUACGGUAAUUUAUUAAUCCUCCAUAAUAGUGAUGAAAUAUAUAAUGAAAUAAUUGUGAAUCUAUUUUUUAAUUUGUGUAUUCGUCUUCUUAUUCGUGUAUCUAUUUUGGAAAGAUUAUAUGAUAUAUGUUUUGUUAUGUGUAAAGAAACUAUAUACU